Molecule: ribosomal RNA, 403 nt
Filed under: Actinomycetes bacterium
Lineage: Bacteria; Bacillati; Actinomycetota; Actinomycetes
Description: Actinobacteria bacterium partial 16S ribosomal RNA
Rfam family: Bacterial small subunit ribosomal RNA
Source: RNAcentral
UGGGGAAUAUUGGACAAUGGGCGCAAGCCUGAUCCAGCCAUGCCGCGUGAGUGAUGAAGGCCCUAGGGUUGUAAAGCUCUUUCACCGGUGAAGAUAAUGACGGUAACCGGAGAAGAAGCCCCGGCUAACUUCGUGCCAGCAGCCGCGGUAAUACGAAGGGGGCUAGCGUUGUUCGGAUUUACUGGGCGUAAAGCGCACGUAGGCGGACUUUUAAGUCAGGGGUGAAAUCCCGGGGCUCAACCCCGGAACUGCCUUUGAUACUGGAAGUCUGAGUAUGGUAGAGGUGAGUGGAAUUCCGAGUGUAGAGGUGAAAUUCGUAGAUAUUCGGAGGAACACCAGUGGCGAAGGCGGCUCACUGGACCAUUACUGACGCUGAGGUGCGAAAGCGUGGGGAGCAAACAGG